This 466-nucleotide ribosomal RNA is filed under the name uncultured bacterium. Its description in RNAcentral is "bacterial SSU rRNA". It matches the Rfam family "Bacterial small subunit ribosomal RNA", at positions 32 to 474 of the family's 1533-position model. The record is from RNAcentral.
AAUCAACGCUGGCGGCGUGCCUCAGACAUGCAAGUCGAACGCGAAAUUUCCCUUCGGGGAGAAAGUAGAGUGGCGCACGGGUGAGUAACACGUAGGUAAUUUGCCUUUGGGUGGGGAAUAACUCAGGGAAACUUGAGCUAAUACCGCAUAAUGCAGCGGCUCGACAUCGAGACAGUUGUUAAAGCGGGGGAUCGCAAGACCUCGCGCCUAAAGAGAAGCCUGCGGCAGAUUAGCUAGUUGGUAGGGUAAUGGCCUACCAAGGCAACGAUCUGUAACCGGCCUGAGAGGGCGGUCGGUCACACUGACACUGACAUACGGGUCAGACUCCUACGGGAGGCAGCAGUCGGGAAUUUUGGGCAAUGGGCGAAAGCCUGACCCAGCAACGCCGCGUGAAGGAUGAAAUCCCUCGGGAUGUAAACUUCGCAAGAACAGGAAGAAUAAGUAGAAGAUAAUACCUUCUAUGAUG